Non-coding RNA from Paramuricea clavata, 430 nucleotides. Lineage: Eukaryota; Metazoa; Cnidaria; Anthozoa; Malacalcyonacea; Plexauridae. The record is from the annotation of a GenBank genome assembly.
AGAGGACUCGCUAUCUGAAGAGAACCCGCCAUCUGAAGAGAACUCGCCAUCUGAAGAAAACCUUACAAAAGACUUGAAAGCCUGGAAACUCUUUCGAAAGACUCGAAAAAAGUAAGGAUUUCCGGUGAAACAGUAUAAGAGUAGAAGCUUUCCAGCAACGUACAGUAGACAAAUCAAACAAAAGGUCGCACAAAGAGAACGAAAACUUUAGUUUGUAAAAAAAAACUCUGUAUAUAUUGCAUAAACUUAUCGGCUUAUCGUGCACAAAUUAUAUACAUGCAGUUUAUCUCUGACAUGAAAAACGUCUCUCGUUAAGAAUAAUUUGGGGCAAUGUUAACCGGCAUGCUAUAAAUCCAGAUUAUUUUCAUGUAAAUUUUCAAAGUUAUGUUGUUCUAGAAACUUCCAUCUCAAUUAAUAAAUAAUGUUGGCC